This is a long non-coding RNA of Oncorhynchus keta (chum salmon), 1210 nucleotides long. RefSeq lists it as uncharacterized. Lineage: Eukaryota; Metazoa; Chordata; Actinopteri; Salmoniformes; Salmonidae. The transcript has 5 exons. The record is from RefSeq and is a predicted model, not a curated record.
UGUCUUUCAUGAGCUCACCAAAUGAACCAAACAGAGAGAUACAGUCACGUGGGUCUCCUGUCUUUCAUGAGCUCACCAAAUGAACCAAACAGAGAUACAGUCACGUGGGUCUCCUGUCUUUCAUGAGCUCACCAAAUGAACCAAGGUCUCCUGUCUUUCAUGAGCUCACCAAAUGAACCACACACAGAGAUACAGUCAUGUGUGUCUCCUGUCUUUCAUGAGCUCACCAAAUGAACCAAACACAGAGAUACAGUCAUGUGGGUCUCCUGUCUUUCAUGAGCUCACCAAAUGAACCACACACAGAGAUACAGUCAUGUGGGUCUCCUGUCUUUCAUGAGCUCACCAAAUGAACCAAACACAGAGAUCCAGUCAUGUGGGUCUCCUGUCCUUCAUGAGCUCACCAAAUGAACCAAACAGAGAUACAGUCACGUGGGUCUCCUGUCUUUCAUGAGCUCACCAAAUGAACCAAACAGAGAUACAGUCACGUGGGUCUCCUGUCUUUCAUGAGCUCACCAAAUGAACCAAACAGAGAUACAGUCACGUGGGUCUCCUGUCUUUCAUGAGCUCACCAAAUGAACCAAACAGAGAUACAGUCACGUGGGUCUCCUGUCUUUCAUGAGCUCACCAAAUGAACCAAACAGAGAUACAGUCACGUGGGUCUCCUGUCUUUCAUGAGCUCACCAAAUGAACCAAGGUCUCCUGUCUUUCAUGAGCUCACCAAAUGAACCAAACAGAGAUACAGUCACGUGGGUCUCCUGUCUUUCAUGAGCUCACCAAAUGAACCACACACAGAGAUACAGUCAUGUGUGUCUCCUGUCUUUCAUGAGCUCACCAAAUGAACCAAGGUCUCCUGUCUUUCAUGAGCUCACCAAAUGAACCAAACAGAGAUACAGUCACGUGGGUCUCCUGUCUUUCAUGAGCUCACCAAAUGAACCAAGGUCUCCUGUCUUUCAUGAGCUCACCAAAUGAACCAAGACAUGAUUGUUCUUUAGGUGCCCACGGACUAUUCCCACAUUCUCAAAAAUAUAAAUAUUGUUUAAAAUACUCCAAUUUUGGAUAUUAGGAGUUUUGGCAAGAGAAGCACUUUGUUCUCUCUCCCUCAAUACUGCAUGGCAGCGAGGAGAGUUUUCAGACAGGAAAGUAUGACCGAGGUAAUAACACCUGUGGUGGGAGAGAGAGAAGGAGGAUAUACACCCAAGUGGUUAGUAAA